This is a long non-coding RNA of Vigna radiata var. radiata (mung bean), 1067 nucleotides long. RefSeq lists it as uncharacterized. NCBI's taxonomy places the organism in Eukaryota, Viridiplantae, Streptophyta, Magnoliopsida, Fabales, Fabaceae. The transcript has 2 exons. The record is from RefSeq and is a predicted model, not a curated record.
CAUAUCCUGUUGUACAAAAAUUAUUAAAAAAAAUUGUUAAAAUAUCAUCUUCCUUUAUUUAAUUGUACCAAUGACGAUAGUCAGAAAUGCAGUUCUCUAAGGGUUGUGAUGAGAACGUUUGAAUGCCCCGUUGUCAGUCCUUGAGGGGAUAAAUGAUGCUGCAACUUGUCCUUGGUCCAACAUAGGGAUUCAUUCACUAGUACAUAGUCGAGGGGAUCGUUGAACUUGGAUAGCCAUUAUUCUCUGAAGGGCAUAUGCAUGAGAGGGAACCUUCAGUUCGUGCACUCAUUUUCAUCCUAUGAAACUGACACUCUCAACAUAUAUUCUUUAUACAUAUCUUCAUCGGAAUAUGAAGCUUGAUUAGCAGCAGAAAGAAGAAGAGAUGAACAAAUGUCAUGGAAGUGCCAAGGUUGAAGUUUGAGCAUAAAAGGGUUGGUCAAAUCGUUUACAAGUGGUUGUUUUGGUUUAGGGCUUUAAGGGUAGCUUGAUCAUAACUUAUCUCUGGUCAGGGCGAUGAUGAUGGAGUAAGUUGGAAUUUGGAGGGUUCAGAGAUGUUAGGUAGAAUAGUUUGCAAGGCUCAAUUAAUUGGUAUGAGACCAAAGCAGGUUUUCUUUUUUUGAUGACCUUGAUGACCAUUCGGUCUUCUGUUUUCGAGGUAGGCUCAGCAAGAGCAGGUUUGGGUAUUUUGAGGUUUUAGGUUUGGAAGGAGAACCUUGUGUCUUGCAUUGUGCAAAACCAGUCUUCAUUUGUGGUGGUUGAAGGCUAGGGUUCUACACAGAGAAGUUUUGGUUUGACUUAACUUGAUGUAAGUAAGAUUGUUUGGGAAGGUUGCUGAGGGCAUUGGAGAGAAGUGUUUUGGAUCAACUAUUUAAAUCUUGGUCAAGGUGGAGGAAUUUGUGGCAAACGGAAGGGUUUCUCUCGAGGUAGACGGUGAAAACUAUAAGGAUAACUAGGGUUUUACAUAAGUUCUAGCUAAAUUUCCAUGUGUAUUAUCAUUUGAUGUAUGACAACAACAUACACAUAACUAUAGAAUGCACUUCUUUUAAUACUAUUUUCACAUUCUACUC